UACGUAGGGUGCAAGCGUUGUCCGGAAUUAUUGGGCGUAAAGAGCUCGUAGGCGGUUUGUCGCGUCUGCUGUGAAAUCCCCGAGCUCAACUCGGGAACUGCGUCCGAUACUGGCAGGCUUGAAUCCGGGAGAGGGAUGCGGAAUUCCAGGUGUAGCGGUGAAAUGCGUAGAUAUCUGGAGGAACACCGGUGGCGAAGGCGGCAUCCUGGACCGGCAUUGACGCUGAGGCGCGAAAGCCAGGGGAGCAAACGGG
Molecule: ribosomal RNA, 253 nt
Filed under: uncultured bacterium
Lineage: Bacteria
Description: partial 16S ribosomal RNA
Rfam family: Bacterial small subunit ribosomal RNA
Source: RNAcentral